This is a long non-coding RNA of Brassica rapa (field mustard), 2683 nucleotides long. RefSeq lists it as uncharacterized. The record is from RefSeq and is a predicted model, not a curated record. NCBI's taxonomy places the organism in Eukaryota, Viridiplantae, Streptophyta, Magnoliopsida, Brassicales, Brassicaceae.
AAAACAUAUUUUUAUUAUUAUAAAAUAACAAAAUUGCAAAAUAAAAUAAACAUCGACAAAUAAAUUUACUUUUUAAUAUGCUGAUAAGUUAUUUUAGUAUUUAGUUACCUUUAUGUAGUAUUCUAGAAAACAAUAUACAUAAAACAUACGUACAGGAGCGACACAACGUCUAGUAACUAUAGUUUGUUGUCAUAUAAGAAAAAUGAUUUACAGUAUAAGAUAUGUUUUCCUAAACCAACAUUGUUUUCUUUAUCAGUCAAAAAAAAAAAAAAGAUAGUUUUUUUUAAUUCAAAAUAAAAACUGUGAAGGAGAAAGUUUAGUAAAAAAACUGUGAAUAAAAAUAUCAGUCAAAAAUUAAAUGUGAAGAAAAAUAGAAAUAUUGUUUUGGUUAGCAAUAUUUAGUUACUAUGGAUACUUACUGACACAAGCUCGUUUUAUAAUAUGGGAGGUAUGGGAGGUCUCCAUUAUCCGAGUCUUUACUUGCCACUUAGUUCCAAGUAUUCCAAUCAUCAUCGCAAUAAAUUCCAGAUACCAUCUCCUCUCGAGUCUUGACAUUAUUGAUGUUUACUCUAAUUUACUUCAAUUAUCACAAAUUUGAUGCAUGGCUACACCAGUUUAAGGAAAUGGUUUCGUGGGUGAUAUAAAUCACUCGUCUAAUAAGUUAAAUUUGCAUCGUUAAUGUAAUGGGAGUUAUUUUUUAUCAAAGAAAUGGGAGAUAUUUUGGAUAUCCAAAUGGAUAUUUGAAGCCUAAUAACAUUUGCAUUAACAUGGCAUGUCACACACUCGUACGUAUUACUAGUGCUGAUCGUUUUAUUUUUUUGGUAAAAAAUGCGGAUCGAAUUUUCUUGUUAAGACUAGAAGUUUUCGUUGGUUUUAAAAAUCUGAGACCAUCUUUAACGGGAGCGCUUAAUACUGGUGCUAAGCCUAAUAAAGAUUAAAAAAGAAAAGAAAAAUAGGAUUAAUGAGAGGAAACGAUGCUUAAUAAGACUUUAGAAGCACCGCUACUUGUGAGACACGUGUUGUGUUUUGGAGAUACAUCUCUCUCUUUCUUGACAAAAUCAUUCGGUCUCUCUCUCUUCUUCUCUUCUGAUGAAACCUUCAUCAAGACGAAGAUCAAAGCAACAAAGCAAUAAAUACGCAUUGAUCCUUCUCGUCGUUAGAUAUUUUUGAUUUCUGUUCUGAACCAAAACGAGAGACAAAUAGAUAUCACAUAAGACGCGAAAAGAAGACAAAUAUUCGCACAAACACACUGAACGGAUCAAAAAAUCGAUUCGAUUCAUCUCCGCAAAAGAACAGAUUUGAUUUUGAGUUCUCAUCCCCAAUAGAUUGUGUUGUUUCUGGGAAGACAUCAAAUGGCGGUUUAUGAUCAUAGUGGAGACAUUAUGUUCAGGAUUCUCACUCAAUCGUUUCUCUGCAGUGCUAACAACGAUGAGGAGGUUCCUCUCCAAACUCACUCCCAGGCAAAUGGCUUUCACGAAUUCGAACUCUUUCUUGGUAAAGCUCAGUACAUCACUACUACAAUCAAUGCAGCUCAAGUUGAUCAGACAAAUUAACCUGAAAGCUCAGUUUCGUCUUCCCAUUGCAUACCAUGGAAGGGCAUCAUCUUUGGGACUGACAUUAUUCGACCAAGGUUAGGUAUCCAGACCUUUCACUUAGUCCGACUAUCCCACCGCGUCCAACCGGAACUGGCGAGAAAGAUCCUGGAGGCCAAACGGAAACUAUGUUAAAUUCGUUAUGGUCAGGACUCGAACUCGUGAUGGCGGGCACUUCAGCGGAAGUUCCUAUUAUAGGAUCAAUUAAUCAUGUAGUUUGAUCUUUUCUAUCUAAUGAGAAGUUUAUUAAAUUUGGGGUCCACGAGAGGGGCAGGGAACAAGAGCAUGUGCAUGUUCAUGGGUCUUUUAAUUCACAUGGCCAUUAUGAUAUUGUAACUUGUACCCUAUUUUGCCGAUCACGAGAUGAGAAAUUUAUCAUAUUUUAUAAUUUGUCUCAGUGUUUGUGUCAUAUUCUAACUCAUAUGAAUAUUUUAUACUAGGUUAAGCGUGCAAUAUGAAAAUGACUUGAACAGAGAACUAUAUUAAUGCGAACAGAAAAAAUUAACUAAAGCAAGGUCCUAAUGAAGUAAUUAUACACCAGCAAUAUUUGACAAUUUUGUUCUUUCUGUGUAUGGUAACUAUACUAUAUAUUUCUUACCAGUAUCAUUUUGAAUUCUAAGCUUAAAGCGGAACUGGCAGGGGGAACUGGAAGACAAACUUGGGUGCAAUAGAAUUGACAAGAAAAUAUUAAAUACCUAAUCAACAAAAUCCCAUAAACUUUACAAACUAGGCCAGCUCCCAUUAAAAAUUUGACAAAUGCCGGUAGGAAAGAACAUUCACUACAAGAAAAAAUAAGCUUAACGACAGCGGUAUUCCUCGUAAAUUCAUCGUAAAAGAGGCUUUACAAAGAAUUAGCGAGAAACUACGUUUUGUCGUUACUCGUUCGUCGUAACGCAUAUAUUCUCACCAAUUCGUCGUAACUUAGCGAGGAAAAUAUGUCGUCAUAAAGACGAAGUACAAUAUUUUGUAGUAAAGACCACGUAAUUAUUCCAUGUAAAAACAUCGCUAUAUUUUCUCGUAAAUACUUCGAAAGGAGUUCCUCGUAAAGUACACGUAAAUACCUCGAAAGUAUUUCCUUGUAAAAUACUCGU